CACAUAACCGCAUAUAUAUUAGAGCUGGGCACGUUAACGCCUUAUAAAUACGUUAACGUAGCAAUCCAUUAACUCCGACAAUGAUUUUAUCAAUCGCUAACAACAUUUAUUUAUUUUUGUAUUGGGAAGGGCUUAAUACUGCUGCACACAUUAACCGGGAAAGUGGAGAAAGACGACUUAACCUCACUCUACAGGAACCUUACUGAACAGAGACCGUUUAUGCUGUUCCCUGGUAAAAGAGAAAUGUUUCUUCUGUUACCUGUACGUGCAAUACACUAGUUUUUAAUUCGUAUUGAAUUUUGAGCAUUAUGCUAAAUGUAAUCACAGGAAAAUCAUGCGAUUAAUCAAUUAAAUGUGUACAUCUUUGCCCAACACUAAUAUAUA
This is a long non-coding RNA of Pseudoliparis swirei, 384 nucleotides long. RefSeq lists it as uncharacterized. The record is from RefSeq and is a predicted model, not a curated record. The transcript is spliced from 2 exons. NCBI's taxonomy places the organism in Eukaryota, Metazoa, Chordata, Actinopteri, Perciformes, Liparidae.